This 420-nucleotide ribosomal RNA is filed under the name uncultured bacterium. Its description in RNAcentral is "bacterial SSU rRNA". It matches the Rfam family "Bacterial small subunit ribosomal RNA", at positions 28 to 424 of the family's 1533-position model. The record is from RNAcentral.
GACGAACGCUGGCGGCGUGCUUCAUACAUGCAAGUCGAACGAGGUCCAACUGGUAGCAAUACCAGUGAAGACCUAGUGGCGAACGGGUGAGUAACACGUGAGGAACCUGCCCCGAAGACCGGGAUAACAGCGGGAAACCGCUGCUAAUACCGGAUACCCCCACCGGAUCGCAUGGUCUGGUGAGGAAAUGCCUGAUUCACUUCGAUUCAGACGCUUCGGGAGGGCCUCGCGGCCAUCAGCUUGUUGGUGGGGUAAUGGCCUACCAAGGCGACGACGGGUAGCUGGUCUGAGAGGACGAUCAGCCACACUGGGACUGAGACACGGCCCAGACUCCUACGGGAGGCAGCAGUAGGGAAUCUUGCGCAAAUGGGCGAAAGCCUGACGCAGCAACGCCGCGUGAGGGAUGAAUGCCUUCGGGUU